This 1395-nucleotide ribosomal RNA is filed under the name marine metagenome. RNAcentral's name for it is "bacterial SSU rRNA". It matches the Rfam family "Bacterial small subunit ribosomal RNA". The record is from RNAcentral.
AGAGUUUGAUCAUGGCUCAGAACGUACGCUGGCGGCACGCCUAACACAUGCAAGUCGAACGAAGUAGCAAUACUUAGUGGCAGACGGGUGAGUAACAUGUAGGUAUCUGCCCUUUGGCCUGGAAUAACACGAGGAAACUUGUGCUAAUACCGGAUAAGUCUUUACGGAGAAAGCUUUAUGCACCAUUGGAUGAGCCUGCACUUGAUUAGUUUGUUGGUGGGGUAAUGGCCUACCAAGACUGUGAUCAAUAGCUGAUUUGAGAGGAUGAUCAGCCACAUUGGGACUGAGACACGGCCCAAACUCCUACGGGAGGCAGCAGUGGGGAAUCUUGCACAAUGGAGGAAACUCUGAUGCAGCGAUGCCGCGUGAGUGAAGAAGGCCCUUGGGUUGUAAAGCUCUUUCGUCGGGGAAGAAAAUGACUGUACCCGAAUAAGAAGGUCCGGCUAACUUCGUGCCAGCAGCCGCGGUAAUACGAAGGGACCUAGCGUAGUUCGGAAUUACUGGGCUUAAAGAGUUCGUAGGUGGUUGAAAAAGUUAGUGGUGAAAUCCCAGAGCUUAACUCUGGAACUGCCAUUAAAACUUUUCAGCUAGAGUAUGAUAGAGGAAAGCAGAAUUUCUAGUGUAGAGGUGAAAUUCGUAGAUAUUAGAAAGAAUACCAAUUGCGAAGGCAGCUUUCUGGAUCAUUACUGACACUGAGGAACGAAAGCAUGGGUAGCGAAGAGGAUUAGAUACCCUCGUAGUCCAUGCCGUAAACGAUGUGUGUUAGACGUUGGAAAUUUAUUUUCAGUGUCGCAGGGAAACCGAUAAACACACCGCCUGGGGAGUACGACCGCAAGGUUAAAACUCAAAUGAAUUGACGGGGACCCGCACAAGUAGUGGAGCAUGUGGUUUAAUUCGAAGAUACGCGCAGAACCUUACCAACACUUGACAUGUUCGUCGCGACUCUAAGAGAUUAGAGUUUUCGGUUCGGCCGGACGAAACACAGGUGCUGCAUGGCUGUCGUCAGCUCGUGUCGUGAGAUGUUGGGUUAAGUCCCGCAACGAGCGCAACCCUCACUUUUAGUUGCCAUCAUUAAGUUGGGCACUCUGAAAGAACUGCCAGUGAUAAGCUGGAGGAAGGUGGGGAUGACGUCAAGUCCUCAUGGCCCUUACGUGUUGGGCUACACACGUGCUACAAUGGUAUCUACAACAGGAAGCAAGACUGCGAAGUUAAGCAAAUCCCUAAAAGAUACCUCAGUUCGGAUUGCACUCUGCAACUCGAGUGCAUGAAGCUGGAAUUACUAGUAAUCGUGGAUCAGCGUGCCACGGUGAAUGCGUUCCCGGGUCUUGUACACACCGCCCGUCACACCAUGGGAGUUGGUUCUACCUUAAGGCAAGGUUCAAACCCUGACCACGG